Molecule: long non-coding RNA, 756 nt
Organism: Ictalurus punctatus (channel catfish)
Lineage: Eukaryota; Metazoa; Chordata; Actinopteri; Siluriformes; Ictaluridae
Exons: 6
Source: RefSeq, a predicted model, not a curated record
CUUUCCUCUCAGCUCUGUGAGAGCUAACAUGGCGGAUACUGAUGACGUCAGCAGUGGAUGUGGCAGGGAGCCUCAGGUGGCACAGGACCCGGAGCAGGAGGCUCAGACAGCUGAGAGUACAGGUUUACAUUCCCACGGAGGUGGGAGGAAACUGGAGAAUCCAGAUGAAACCCACAUGUACAUGGAGAACAUGCGAAACUGCAUACAGACAGUAACCUGAGCUCAGGAUUAAACCACGCACCUGGAGCUGUGAGGCCCCAAUGUUACCUAGCAAAUUAAACAGGAAAGUGCUGAAGACUGGCACAUGGAUGCUGUCGGACAGAACGGUCAAAUAGGUCUCGGAAAACUGGAAGGCUGUGCCGUGUUGUUGAACUAGCUGCCACACACACUCCAGGAAGAGCAGGAAGACUGGGGACUGACACUGCAGAAAACAUAAAACUUUGUCCCAGACGUGUUUUGAUGGCUCCUUCAUGAUGCUGUUUGUUCAGGUGAUUACAUCGAUCGAGGAAAGCAUGGCAGCCAGCCACCCACUCUUUUUGCACCAGGCCCUGAAAACCUAUCAGUGUCCUGUAGUGAGGAUCCAGCAUGAUCUGAACCAGGCUGGAAAUAACGCAGCACAGGCACUCUACCACUUCCACUGCUUUCUGGAGACACUGUCUGCAAACAAAAUCAACAUGGGGAUUUCUCCAAUUGUUAUCUCAACAGCUGUAGAUGUACAGUUGGGUCUGUUUUAAGGCAGAAUAACCGAUACCUUAU